Molecule: long non-coding RNA, 2282 nt
Organism: Leptopilina heterotoma
Lineage: Eukaryota; Metazoa; Arthropoda; Insecta; Hymenoptera; Figitidae
Exons: 4
Source: RefSeq, a predicted model, not a curated record
CUGCAAGGUAGCAGAUAAUCAUUAAGUAAUAACUUAGUAAUAAGUAGGUCUUUCCCACCAAAAUGUCGUUCAAUAAAAAGAAUCGACAAAGGGAAAUCAUGGCAGUUGCCCGUGAAUCUUGGCGAAACAAAGUAUGUUUGGCCAUAGUAGCCGAAGCUAGGCAAAAGUUGCCUUUACUUCUCAAGAAGGGACUCCAGAGAUUUUCAUUGAGUGAUUUAAAAAGAGUAAUUGACAUAGUAUUUUUAUAUGUGAAAAAUAUUUUAAAAAAAUUAAAAAGAUAAUAAUAAAAUAAAUCUUGAUAUAAGGUUCCAGACACUACAACACAGUUAAAAUUUUUCUAACCGGAGAAAUCAAUUACGCAUCUGGCAUCGGUACUUUCAGCAGGUCUAAAAACAAUACUGAAAAAACCACAAUUAAAAGAAGAUGCCUUGCCUACUCUUCAUUUAGGGAGAGCUACAAUUGAAAAAGAAAGAAAACUGCAUUUGAAAAGAAAUUUAUCUGCUGAAGUAAAUGGUAAAAUACAAAACUAUAAAAAGAGGAAAAUCGAUGCUGAACUUAACGAAUUGGACAUUGAGAAAACGAAAUAACUGUCUGUUAUUCCUGACGAUAAAAAAGAUUUACAAGAUGGUCCUUCUAACAGUGAUUUAAUUUCAUCGCCGAUUCAAAAUAAUGAAACAAAUAAUUUACUUUUGAAAAACACUAUAGAAUCAUCUGCCAAUGAGACGACCUUAUUUCAAGAAAUAUCCGAAAAUGAAAUUCGAAUGCCACCUUCAUGGAUUCGUUUAAAUAUUUCAUGGGGAAAUGAACACGAUGUUACUUUUGUCAAACUAAUUUGGGCUAAAAGGCAAAAAUGGAUUUCUAGACAGUACUGUUCAUAAAAAAUUAACAAUUGAUGAAAAUUUGGUUAUUAACAUUAGUAUUAAUGGCAGGUUUGUUAACAAAACAGAUCUGGGGAUAAGUUUUGAAAAAAUUGAAACUUUAUAAAACUUACAAGAAAUUUUAGAAACCCUUGAAAAAAGUGAGAUUUGUUUUGGUAAUAUACUAGUAUUAUUAUGAAUGAGCAAAAUAGUUCUUUAUUGCGUACUUUUUGCUAUGUAGAUGGAAGUGAAUCUUUAAGGAAUAACCAUUGUCCAAUUCUUCUAUCUACACAAACCAAAUAUAAUAAUCGACAGUGUAAUUUCUGUAAGAAUAUAAAUCAAGUCCUCAAUAAAAAAAUUAUUCGUUUAAAACAUAAAUAAUAAAAGAAAUUACAUUCAAUUAAACAAAAUUAGUCCCAUAAAACGAGAAAAAUUAUGUCGAAAAGCAAGAAACUCUGGAAGAUCAAAAGAAAAAGCUAAAGAGAAAAUUCGACCGUUAAAAUUGACUCUUCUUCAUUGCCAAAAUAGAAUAUGUAAAUUAUCUGAAACAUCAGUAACCGAAAUUUUGGCUAAAAAUCCAAACAUAAGCGAAAAUGAACAUACAGUAAUAAAAGAGAUUUUUAAAUCUGCCAAGUGUAAAUCUCUUAAUGGACGAAGAUACUCCGAUGAAUGGCUGCUGCUUUGUAUUUUGCUCCAUAUGAAGUCUCCAGCAACUUACCGGUUGUUACUAGAGAACAAAAUUCUGCCUGUACCAUCGGUUCGGAUUAUUAGAAGACGGUGGAAGGCCUAAUAGAAAACUUUGGACAGAAAUGGGUUGCAGUGGAAAAUUGGAUGGCACGUUCAAAUUUUUUUUCAACAUCCUGUUGAAGAAGGAAAAAAAGUCUAUUUUUUUAUACACCUCAUAUAAUGAAGACUUAGAAAUCGCUCAGCUCAGCUAUUUAAACUGUACUAUGACUAGCGAAUUUUAGAAGCACUUAUCUCAAAGUGUUGCAAACUUCAGAGGAAUUAAAAAUUUAUAAAAUAUUAAAACGGAAUAGACAGGAAUUGAACUUACCGAGUAUCACACAGUAUUUCGGAAUUCACAAAAAUUCAAAAGUUAAAGAAAUAUUAAAACGGAAUUGAUUGGAAUUCACUUUCAAGAAAUCUUCGCCUCAAAAAGGAAUACAUAGGAAUUGGACAGAAACGGAAUUAAAAAAAAUUGAUAAUUUAACAUUUUCUGUAAAAAGUUAAAAAUGUUCAAUUCUUCUCAAUUCCUUACUUCUUACUGGGGUUAUUCGGCAAAUAAAUGUCAAAAUCUUUACAUUCAAAUAUACACAAUAAUUAUUUGUUUGUACGAUAUAUUAUUUUGUGUGCUAACAAUAGCAUAAAAACUCUUUUAUUCUCAAGAUUUGUAAAAUUCAUCGAAAAUCGUAGUGAUUAAGAAAC